UACAGAGGUCUCAAGCGUUGUUCGGAUUCAUUGGGCGUAAAGGGUGCGUAGGUGGCGGGGUAAGUCAGGUGUGAAAUUUCGGAGCUUAACUCCGAAACUGCAUUUGAUACUGCCUUGCUUGAGGACUGGAGAGGAGACUGGAAUUCACGGUGUAGCAGUGAAAUGCAUAGAGAUCGUGAGGAAGACCAGUGGCGAAGGCGGGUCUCUGGACAGUUCCUGACACUGAGGCACGAAGGCCAGGGGAGCAAACGGG
This 253-nucleotide ribosomal RNA is filed under the name uncultured bacterium. RNAcentral's name for it is "partial 16S ribosomal RNA". It matches the Rfam family "Bacterial small subunit ribosomal RNA", at positions 524 to 776 of the family's 1533-position model. The record is from RNAcentral.